AAACCAUGCAUUGGGCAUUUUUUAAUUAACUUCUUGAAUAGCUCUCAUGCUUCAUAUAAUGUUUCAUCCUCAAGUUAUCGAAAGGACAUAAUAUCAUUUCUUAAUUU
Gossypium raimondii (Peruvian cotton) is the source of this 107-nucleotide small nucleolar RNA. It matches the Rfam family "Plant small nucleolar RNA R71". From Rfam's summary of the family: R71 is a member of the C/D box family of snoRNAs containing the C (UGAUGA) and D (CUGA) box motifs. Multiple nearly identical copies of this snoRNA have been identified in Arabidopsis, and it is thought to function as a 2'-O-ribose methylation guide for 18S ribosomal RNA. The record is from Rfam. Lineage: Eukaryota; Viridiplantae; Streptophyta; Magnoliopsida; Malvales; Malvaceae.